AAGCUCCAGUCAGCAACUUGGUUGGAUCUUCACCCCCAGCCAAGCCUUUCUGGAGCACGGGAGAUGUCCUUCCCAAAGUUUGGCCAUGCCGCGGUACCGGGUUCCGCCAUCGGGUUCUGAGGUGGCCAACUUCAAAGCUCACAGGACGGAGCCACAAGUUGGUCAUCCCGCCGGAGUCUCCUGACAAGAAGUUCGUUCUGAUUGUCGGGGACUCCCACCUGCGGUCCAUCGCGGAUGGUUUCGCCGUGAUGCCAGAGGCAACAACCUGACGGCGAGCAGGACCAUCGAGGAGGCAGCCGUCGACUAUGCAAGUUUCCUCACUGCUGUGAGGAGCCGCUGGCCGGAGGUUUUUGUGCUGGACUCCCCCCCCC
Molecule: long non-coding RNA, 371 nt
Organism: Neoarius graeffei (lesser salmon catfish)
Lineage: Eukaryota; Metazoa; Chordata; Actinopteri; Siluriformes; Ariidae
Exons: 6
Source: RefSeq, a predicted model, not a curated record